UAGGUUAGAAGCUCGCUGUAGGGGCUACAUUCGAGUGCUCUUGUACUGAUCAAUCAUGAUACAGAUGCACAAUUCGCCCUUGGGAAGGUCUGAGACCAAGGUCGCUUUACGUCUUCCAGACGAAGGCCGCUGUAACAGGCGGGUGGGUCACCAGAAAUUGGCUUGAUGGAGUUUAUAUCGGUCCAAGACACUACAAGGGAUUUAUCUCUUUAGUGGAGGCCAUGAACUUGCAUCAUAGUUGAAAAAAGACUCACGACCAGCUGAAUGAGUUCAAUUAGCGAGGUGGCACUUAUGUGUUCUAACUCAAUUCAGACUACUCUCUGACCUA
This 328-nucleotide RNase P RNA is filed under the name Trichoplax adhaerens. RNAcentral's name for it is "Nuclear RNase P". It matches the Rfam family "Nuclear RNase P". Rfam says of the family: Ribonuclease P (RNase P) is a ubiquitous endoribonuclease, found in archaea, bacteria and eukarya as well as chloroplasts and mitochondria. Its best characterised activity is the generation of mature 5'-ends of tRNAs by cleaving the 5'-leader elements of precursor-tRNAs. Cellular RNase Ps are ribonucleoproteins. RNAcentral also lists the same sequence under 1 other name. The record is from Rfam by way of RNAcentral. Lineage: Eukaryota; Metazoa; Placozoa; Uniplacotomia; Trichoplacea; Trichoplacidae.